UUGAACGCUGGCGGCAGGCCUAACACAUGCAAGUCGAGCGGCAUCUCUUGGCAACCUGGCGGCGAGCUUCGGACGGGUGAGUAACGCGUAGGAAUCUACCCAGUAGCGGGGGAUAGCCUGGGGAAACUCGGAUUAAUACCGCAUACGCCCUAAGGGGGAAAGCAGGGGAUCUUCGGACCUUGCACUAUUUGCAGAGCCUGCGUUGGAUUAGCUAGUUGGUAGGGUAAAGGCCUACCAAGGCAACGAUCCAUAACUGGUCUGAGAGGAUGAUCAGUCACACCGGAACUGAGACACGGUCCGGGCUCCUACGGGGGGCAGCAGUGGGGAAUAUUGGACAAUGGGGGCAACCCUGAUCCAGCCAUGCCGCGUGUGUGAAGAGGGCCUUCGGGUUGUAAAGCACUUUAAGUGGGGAGAAAGGUUCGGCAGUUAAUACCUGCCGGAAGUGAUGUUACCCACAGAAUAAGCACCGGCUAACUCUGUGCCAGCCGCCGCGGUAA
This 497-nucleotide ribosomal RNA is filed under the name uncultured bacterium. RNAcentral describes it as "partial 16S ribosomal RNA". It matches the Rfam family "Bacterial small subunit ribosomal RNA", at positions 30 to 523 of the family's 1533-position model. The record is from RNAcentral.